Strigops habroptila (Kakapo) is the source of this 4353-nucleotide RNA transcript. It is a transcript of the gene named chromosome 2 C2orf49 homolog, with no coding region annotated. Lineage: Eukaryota; Metazoa; Chordata; Aves; Psittaciformes; Psittacidae. The transcript has 5 exons. The record is from RefSeq and is a predicted model, not a curated record.
GGCGCGCCCCGGCGUCACCCGCCGCGCCACUUCCUGCGCCAGCCCCCGCCCCGCGCGGCAUGGUGGGAAGCCGGAAGGGGGUCGCCGGGGGAAGAAGAUGGCGGCGCGGGGCAGGGGCCGGGUCGGUGCCGGUGGUGGAGGUGGCGGCGGAAAGGGGGAGCGGGGGUCGGGGCGCCCCGAGUCGGAGCUGCUGCUGCACCCGGAGCUGCUCUCGGAGGAGUUCCUGCUGCUCACCCUGGAGCAGAAAAAUAUACUAGUUGAAAAUGAUGUAAAGAUGGACAAAGAUGGUCUCACUGAUCUCUAUAUUCAACAUGCCAUUCCCCUGCCCCAGCGCGACUUGCCAAAAAGUAGAUGGGGGAAAAUGAUGGAGAAGAAAAGACAGCAAAAUGAGUUUAAAAGGGAGACUAAAAGUGUUACAACGGUGGAAGGUUUAAGGAAACGGCCAUUAAUUGUAUUUGAUGGCAGUUCAACAAGUACAAGCAUAAAGGUGAAGAAGACAGAAAAUGGAGCUGUUGAUCGCCUAAAACCUCCUCCAGCUGGAAGCACCACCAACACUGUUAGAAGAUUAUCUGUUCCUCCAAAUGCCUCAACGUACAUUUCAGCCUCCAGUUUAUCAGAGGACGCUAAACUGGGAAUGAGGAAUGAUGAGGCUAAGCAGAACAAUAUUUCAAAGGCUAACAGCAGUAUGUUGGCUAGUCUGAAGGUGUAUCCCUUGUCUCCAGUAGCAGGAACUACUGUUGUGAAGUUAAAGAGAGCUGUUCCAAAAGAAGAAUCUGAUUUGCCGGAAUUGGCAAGCUAGAGGAAGGAACUGGAUGUGAAAAUCUGGAGAGCUGCCUAGUCUAUGGAUCUCACUGAGAAGCUGUAACAACAAACCAUACUAGCCAAAGUGAGAGGCUAAAGGUCGCGUGCUCAUUUUGAGCCAUGGUGGUUUAAACCAAGUACCUGGGCUUCUGUAAGACGAUGAGAAAGACGUGCUAAGAUCUUGAAUAGACCAUUGCUGUUCUCAAGCGGAAGGCUGAUGGCUGAGCUGUUAACCAUAAAGAAUGACCUAAAGCCUACUGAAGCAAAGAAGAAAAUCCAGCAUGUUACAUGGCCGUGAAGUAGCUAAUGGUGCUUGAAACAUAAAUGUUACUUCCAUAUUUUCAAACAGAUAAGUCAUAUUUAAACAGUUUAAAUACAAUUCUUUUUAAACCUUACAGGAAUUCAGAUUGCUGUGAAGUUUGAACAACUUUAAAAGUUCCCUGUUGUAACGCUGGAGUCAUUAUCACCAGUCACCUUAAAAGUGUCUACUUAUGUAUGCCAAGUAGUUCAGUAUUUCUUUAAAAGGUGGUGAUAUUACAAUGUUCUACCACCAGGCCCACCCUCCUUUUUUUUUUUAGUUUUGAAGAUUAUUAUAGUUCAUCUUCAGCAUGUCAUUCCGAUUCACACCUAGAAAUACAUUAUUUUUGUUUCAGUAAGAUUCAGUUUUGUUCCACUUAUGGUCAAAUAGUUAAAAUAACUAUGAGAUUCAGAAUGAUCCCAAGAGCCGCCUUGGCAUUAAAAAGAUAAUUCAUUUAGAUGAGAAAACUGACCAUUCUGCUGAUAAGAUAGUCUGAGACAAAAUGUUUUCCUUUAUGUUGCACAGGAGUGUAGAAUUUACAGUGCAAGUUAGAUUGGUAAUAAGAGAUGAACUAUUUUAACAGCAUUACUUCAAAUUGAAGUUUCUCUUAUUGACAUAUGAAAUAAAUACACGGAUGGAAGUAUGUUAUUAGGCUGUUUGAUAUGGAUCUUUGAGAGGAAGUAGUGAAUGGAUUAGUGCCAUGUUCUUUUAAAUACACAGGCAUAUUUUAUACAUGCGUAAGUGUAAAAAUGUGCCGAAGUAGCAAAUUUGCUGUUCUCCUGAUUACAGUCAUGUUUAUAAAAUAUGGGGAAGACAUGUGGAAUGCAGGCCAGUGCUUUCUCAACUUACUAACAGUUGGAGAGGGACAGGGAUAGGAAGACAAAGUAAUACCUUGAAAGCAUUAGCGUAUGUACUUGCAUUCUUUAAAAAAAAACAAAAAGGUAACCUGUUUUCUCUUCUUUUGAUCAUUUAAGAUGGGUGUUGGUUUUCUGUGAAGCUUUGUGUUUCAUCUGCAUUGCUAGUAGUGCCUUAUGAGGCAGAAAUCCAGUUAAGUUGAUAGAAACAUUUUUAUUAAAACUCAGUGGCUCAGGGUGAAGCCAAUUUAGAUCCAUUUUAGAUACGAAUGGUAAAUAAUAAUAUCAACACUCCUGGACUUAGUAAAACAAAAAAAGAAUCAACUUCUGAAUCCGCUUAGUUAACCCGCUAAGAGAAGCUCUCAGUAGUGAUCUGAAAGAUGUUUACAUUUGUAACAUUGGUUAAUGUUGAAACCGAAACCUGUAGCUUAAUUCAUUACUGACAGAAGUUCUCCAUUCACUGUUACGACAUAAAAAGGCACUUCUCGAAUGCUGUAAAAUGGUAAGAAUGUGUGUUUUGAAAUAGUGUGCUGUUUUCCUUUUACUAAACACUUGUCCAGUUUUUGUACUUGAGUACAGCAAACUUUAACGUAAUGCACAUUUUGUAUGUAAAGAGUUGUCUUUUAAGUAGCCUUAUCCUAUUUAAAUAAAUUCAAUUAAAAGCAAACAAAGUAGUGCUGACUUGUUUUUGUGGUGUAAUUAAGCAUGUUCAUUUUACACGCUUACAUUUCAGUGGGCUUGAAGUGAUUAGAACUUGAGAAAGAGCUUACGGGGUAAAAGGCUCUGUAGCUAGUCUGGAGUUUAGCAGCAGUUAGUAUUGUGUGAACUGCUGGUCCUUGCACUAGUGUAGUAGUCUGAUAGGAGUUCUGUUUUGUGGGUGGCUUCUUGGCAGUGGUUUAGAGUUUAGGCUAUAUUUUGUUGUAGUUGUAGUUGCUAGGAGCACAUGUGUGUUGGUAUGUGUUAAGGAGUAAUAUGCAGAACUGUACUGGAAUAAUAGCAUGAUGUCUUGUUUUCAGGCCAGUUUGCUUUUCAGCCUUGUCAUGUUUCACCUCACUUUCCUCAAAGCUGGGACCAUUUUGCCAUCUGUUGUAGUGCUUGGGAGACAAGCUACAAGCCAUGCUGCUUUUGCUCCCUUCCGCUCCCCCCUUAGUAAGCCUUCUUUUCUCAGGAAAGUAUUAGAGCUGCAGUGUGCUGGGGGACUGCCAGCCCCCAGAGGAGAAAUUGAGCUGCUUGCCCUCCUCUGGGAGGUGUGAAUGUAAGAAGGAUUUUCCUGGCCAUUCUUUACUACAGCCUUCAUCAUAGAAUGAAGUCAUCAAAGGAUAGAACAUAGUAAUUCAGUGAGAUCUGAUUUGCACAGUGUGUGCACUUCAAAAAUGCACACUGCCAGCAAAGUUCUUCAAAUGGUUUACUAACCAAAUCUUACCUGAUGCAUCUACUUACCUUGUUGAAUUAAUAAGGGAGGAAUGACCUGUGAGCACGUUAUGCUUGGUACAAAAAGAGGCAAAUUCAAGAGUGGUGGCAGGAACUAGGAGCAAACUUUUCCUACCCAGUUAUACACAAAGUAUAUGCCCAAUUCUUCUUUCCACAUCUGAAGAUUCCAGUUGGAAGUGCAACAUAUUACUUUCCUCCUUUUGCUGGAUGCAAAUGAAUUCCAUCUGGAAGGUGUACCAGGAUCAUAUGUUGUGUAACAUGGCCAGAUUUCUUGAGGUUCAUUUUGGGAAAAGAGUUAAUCUCCCUUUGGAUUGUUUUCUCUUGAUUUUAUUGACCUUGCAGCAUGCUGUGACUGAACAUUACCUUUGCAGCAGACAUGUCGCAGAAACGAUGCUAGAGCAAAGGGUAUUUGCAUAUUGCAAUACAUAACAAAAUGAAAGCAUGCCCUAGUAUAGAAGUCAAACUUCUGACUUUUACAAAGAUAAAUGUCUUUUGAGCUGUCUUGACCUCCUUGCUUGCUGAGAACAACAAUAUUUUGGUUUUCAGUGUAGAGCCUAGGAGCACAUUUUUAUCAGCUGCAGUCUAUUCAGUAUUUUCACACAGUCGUUUAGUUUUGCUGAUAAUUUUCUCACGAAUUUCAGUUAGUAGAAGACUAUAUUUUAUCAGCAGGGUCCAUCUGAGGAUUGCCUAAACCCCACAGGUUCCUAAUGACUGGGUGCAAAAAGGGUCGUGUUUGUGUGGCUCUUGCAUUGUGAUCCUUCAGACUGUGAAAGCAUUUUAUCUGUAAAUAUCUAAUAUGUAAAUGCAAUUAAACCACAAUCACUCUUUUGUUUUAAAUGAUUUUAUUUUGAAAAAUACAAUGUGCAGUGUAAUGUCGACUAACUGUAAUACUGACACCGUCAAUCAGAACUUGUACUUCACACAAUGAUCAGCUAGUCAUGCAAUAAAAUAUGUACCUGUUACGAAGCA